GCGACAGAUGCGGUGGAGCGAGGCUAUU
This 28-nucleotide small RNA is filed under the name Bombyx mori (domestic silkworm). RNAcentral's name for it is "ovarian small RNA-16797". The record is from RNAcentral. Lineage: Eukaryota; Metazoa; Arthropoda; Insecta; Lepidoptera; Bombycidae.